GUGCACUCUGGGAGCUGUCACUAGGCCCUUCGGCUCCCGGUCUCGGUGUAGCUGCCGUGGUUGCCAGGAGAGCUGCGCCGGCGAGAAGCGGCCGAGCCAGCAGCAGGUAAUGACUUUACAUGAGUUUGGAACUGGUCUCUAGUGGGAAGUUGUGGGAGGAUGAACACAGAAGAGCUGGAGUUAUUGAGUGACUCCAAAUACAGAAACUAUGUAGCAGCAAUUGACAAAGCACUAAAGAAUUUUGAAUACUCCAGUGAAUGGGCAGAUUUGAUAUCAGCACUUGGAAAACUUAAUAAGGUUUUACAAAAUAAUGCAAAGUACCAAGUAGUACCCAAAAAGCUGACCAUAGGCAAACGCCUAGCUCAAUGUCUACAUCCAGCAUUACCAGGUGGAGUUCAUCGGAAGGCGCUUGAAACAUAUGAAAUUAUCUUCAAAAUAAUUGGACCUAA
RNAcentral lists this long non-coding RNA (449 nucleotides) under Homo sapiens (human). Its description in RNAcentral is "HSALNT0109224". Lineage: Eukaryota; Metazoa; Chordata; Mammalia; Primates; Hominidae. The record is from RNAcentral.